GAGUGUGGGAGGUUUCAUGUUUCUUAGACGGAGUACGUCUGGCGCUGCGUGACAUAGAGCGUGACAGUGUUGUGUCACGCACUGCAAAGAACACUUCCUGAUUUUUAUUGGGGAGUUCAUAUGACGGUGAUAUGCCAAGAGGUCUACCUUCCACAUAAAACAGCCUACCCGCCUCUGAUACGUGGCGGCUAUUCGGGAACUGUUCCAGCUAUGUAAACAACCCCAGAAUGUGACGAUUGAGGACCAAUAUUGAAAACAACUCAAGCAAAUCGUACAAGGCGCCUAGAUCGAAAUACGCAGUAGUUUUAAAACCUAAAGUAGAUAAAUGCUGUUAGCUAAUCGCUUUAGAGCAACUGAUAAGAUCAUGACGAGGAAAUAAGGCCACACGUUACAUGAUUACAUGUUCGUGUACUGCGAAAAGGAUUUUCACAAAUUGCACAAUAAAAACACCACAUAAUUUAUG
Long non-coding RNA from Nematostella vectensis (starlet sea anemone), 463 nucleotides. RefSeq lists it as uncharacterized. The record is from RefSeq and is a predicted model, not a curated record. NCBI's taxonomy places the organism in Eukaryota, Metazoa, Cnidaria, Anthozoa, Actiniaria, Edwardsiidae. The transcript is spliced from 3 exons.